This 17-nucleotide transfer RNA is filed under the name Oncorhynchus masou ishikawae (Ishikawa's cherry salmon). RNAcentral describes it as "partial tRNA-Met". Lineage: Eukaryota; Metazoa; Chordata; Actinopteri; Salmoniformes; Salmonidae. The record is from RNAcentral.
UAGUAAGGUCAGCUAAU